Molecule: ribosomal RNA, 119 nt
Filed under: Oryza rufipogon (brownbeard rice)
Lineage: Eukaryota; Viridiplantae; Streptophyta; Magnoliopsida; Poales; Poaceae
Source: RNAcentral
GGAUGCGAUCAUACCAGCACUAAAGCACCGAAUCCCAUCAGAACUUUAAAGUUAAGCGUGCUUGGGCGAGAGAAGUACUAGGAUGGGUGACCUCCUGGGAAGUCCUCGUGUAGCAUCCC